UAGUUGAGUUGAGUUGAGUUUUUAUCUUGCAAUCAUUCUUUUUGGGGAUGUCUCGUCCACCCCCUUGAGUACGAGGGUUCUUGCUGUGAAGAUGUUAUGUGCAUCUUAUUGUAGAUUGUCCAUAUGUGCUUUCAAAGGCUCCAGUUGCUGUUGCAUCUAAUCUUGUAUCGCUUUUUGAAGGCAAAUGUAUUUAUAACAGUUGAAACAACCAUAUUUUGGAGCUCAUUGGAGCGAUCAGGAUCUGCAUGGUCUCCUUGUUUUGUAGUCUUCUGAGGUGUUUAGAGAGUGAGAAUAAUGGAUGGGGGUCGCAUGACCUUUUCCAUGGCGUUCAGUGAGUUUGAACAUAGUUGUUUUGGGAAAAUAAUAGUUUCAGGUUAUCAGAAAGAAGGGAAAACAUAUUAGUGUUUCCCACAGACGGUGCCAAAUAACAAGGGUUGAAAAAGCACUAGAUGUUUGCCAUGUGGUACCUGCAGUGUGGUCACAGAAAAGGGUUACAGGGAGGUAAAGUGUUCCCUGCUGAUGAACCUCAAAUGCUUAAGUCAGUGACUUGUGAGAAAGCUAGGGUUCCAAAGGACCAGAAUAGGAAGUAAGCAAUUGAGAGAUUCGAGAUUAGAAAGAUUAAGAGAUCCUUACUAGAGUAUAUCAUUCUUUUAUUGGUGACUAGGGCAGAUGUAGCUUUCAAAUUGAUGGCAGUUGUUGACCAACCACAUAUGUUGUAUGAGGCUACUUAUUAUUUAUGUUUGAUCCACGAAGGCAACACGCUCCGAGUCAUUUGAUUCCCCUAUCACUACUGAGAAUAUUGUAAGGUGGUUUUAUGUCAAGUGGUGCAGUAAUGAUGUCCUCCCUCACGUGCACUAUGCACGCUUUAUUUAUUAAGAAUUUCUUAGGACCACGUCUUUACACUAAACAUCAAAUCCUCCAUUAAUGACUCGUCAAUAUUGUAUCCUAGUCGGUGCACUCAAAAGCGCCAAAGCGCAGCAACAAAUAAGAAAGCAGUUUUACAUAUGCUAAGCAAAGUGCAUUUAGUGAAGUAAGGGAUUUUUGUGCUAAAAAGAGCAGAAAUGCGC
RNAcentral lists this unclassified non-coding RNA (1067 nucleotides) under Hevea brasiliensis (rubber tree). The record is from RNAcentral. Lineage: Eukaryota; Viridiplantae; Streptophyta; Magnoliopsida; Malpighiales; Euphorbiaceae.